GACAGAGGUGCCGAGCGUUAGGCGGAAUCACUGGGCUUAAAGCGUGUGUAGGCGGGCGGGCAAGUACCUUGUGAAAUCCCACGGCUCAACCGUGGAACGGCUGGGUAUACUGCCUGUCUUGAGCCAGCUAGGGGCGAGCGGAACAGACGGUGGAGCGGUGAAAUGCGUGGAUAUCGUCUGGAACGCCGAAGGUGAAAACAGCUCGCUGGGGCUGUGCUGACGCUGAGACACGAAAGCCAGGGGAGCGAACGGG
Molecule: ribosomal RNA, 253 nt
Filed under: uncultured bacterium
Lineage: Bacteria
Description: partial 16S ribosomal RNA
Rfam family: Bacterial small subunit ribosomal RNA
Source: RNAcentral